AGGCAUUAUGUUAUGGGCCGGAAGGCGAAUAUGUUAUGGGCCGGAAGGCGUUGUGUUGUGGACCGGAAGGUCGGCGUGGGUAGGACCGGAAUGUUUACCCAGCAGGGACGGAAGUCCCCUGAGACACAUGGACCGGAAGGUCAGGGCCUGGAAAGGCGUAUAUGCGUAAGUUGUAUAUUGGGGAACUCACUAAGCAUUUAUGCUUACAGUUGUUAUGUAUGUGUUUCAGGUACUAGCGAGGACCGUGGGAAGGCGCCGGCGUGAUCUGUACACACUGAUUGAUGUUUUGUGAUCUUGGGAAUUCUAUGAUUUGUAUUUUGACAUGACACUUGGAAUAAUUAUGCCUUGUUUGAAUGAAAAUACUUUAUUUUUGAAAUGAAAAUUUUGUUUGAAAAUU
RNAcentral lists this long non-coding RNA (397 nucleotides) under Lactuca sativa (garden lettuce). RNAcentral describes it as "long non-coding RNA (LSAT_LNC003700)". Lineage: Eukaryota; Viridiplantae; Streptophyta; Magnoliopsida; Asterales; Asteraceae. The record is from RNAcentral.